This is a long non-coding RNA of Tupaia belangeri chinensis (Chinese tree shrew), 91 nucleotides long. RefSeq lists it as uncharacterized. The transcript has 3 exons. Lineage: Eukaryota; Metazoa; Chordata; Mammalia; Scandentia; Tupaiidae. The record is from RefSeq and is a predicted model, not a curated record.
CGACAGCAGGAAGGAUUCAAGGGAACCUUCCCUGAUGCGAGAGAGCAGGAGAUACGGAUGGGUCAGAUGGCUAUGGGAGGUGCCAUGGGCA